This 648-nucleotide long non-coding RNA is filed under the name Hordeum vulgare. RNAcentral describes it as "long non-coding RNA (HVUL_LNC011689)". The record is from RNAcentral. Lineage: Eukaryota; Viridiplantae; Streptophyta; Magnoliopsida; Poales; Poaceae.
GCCAGUUUUGUAUGCUAUUACUCACUGAUUUUGUGUCUUGCUGCGAUCCGAAUGUUUCGGGAACCCCGGGGUCUGGUUACAAGGAACUCGUCAAAACUCGCAGUUUUGGCCAAUUCCGCCCAGUAUUGUAUGCUAUUACUCACUGAUUUUGGGUCCUACUGCGAUCCGAAUGUUUCGGGAAAACCGCGGUCCGGUUAGGGGGAACUCGUCAAAACUCGUAGUUUUGGCCCAUUCCGGACAUUUUUGUAUGCUAUUACUCACAGAUUUUGUGUCCUCCUGCGAUCCGAAAGUUUCGGGAAGCCGAGGUCCGGUUACGGGGAACUCGUCGAAACUCGUAGUUUUGGCCUAUUCCGCCCAGUAUUGUAUGCUAUUAGUCACUGAUUUUGGGUCCUGCUGCGAUCCGAACGUUUCGGGAACCCCCGGGUCCGGUUACGGGGAACUCGUCAAAAUUCACAGUUUUGGCCUAUUCCGCCCUGUUUUGUAUGCUAUUAGUUAGUGAUUUUGUGUCCUGCUGGGAUCCGAAUGUUUCUGGAACAUUGGGGAUUGCUUACGGAGAACUUGUCAAAACUCGCAGUUUCGGCCUAUUCCGCCUAGUUUUGUAUGCUAUUUCUCACUCAUUUUGUGUCAUGCUACGAUCGGAACGUUUCN